Molecule: ribosomal RNA, 228 nt
Filed under: uncultured bacterium
Lineage: Bacteria
Description: partial 16S ribosomal RNA
Rfam family: Bacterial small subunit ribosomal RNA
Source: RNAcentral
CGAGCGUUGUCCGGAAUUACUGGGCGUAAAGAGCUCGUAGGUGGUUUGUCGCGUUGUUCGUGAAAACUCACAACUCAAUUGUGGGCGUGCGGGCGAUACGGGCAGACUAGAGUACUGCAGGGGAGACUGGAAUUCCUGGUGUAGCGGUGGAAUGCGCAGAUAUCAGGAGGAACACCGGUGGCGAAGGCGGGUCUCUGGGCAGUAACUGACGCUGAGGAGCGAAAGCGU